This 502-nucleotide ribosomal RNA is filed under the name uncultured bacterium. RNAcentral describes it as "partial 16S ribosomal RNA". It matches the Rfam family "Bacterial small subunit ribosomal RNA", at positions 28 to 523 of the family's 1533-position model. The record is from RNAcentral.
GAUGAACGCUAGCGGCAGGCCUAACACAUGCAAGUCGAGGGGCAGCACAGAAACAGCAAUGUUUUGGUGGCGACCGGCGGACGGGUGCGUAACGCGUAUGCAACCUACCUUUAACAGGGGGAUAACGGAGAGAAAUUUCCACUAAUACCCCAUAACAUCGAUCAAGGCAUCUUGAUUGGUUGAAAACUCCGGUGGUUAAAGAUGGGCAUGCGUUGUAUUAGGUAGUUGGUGAGGUAAUGGCUCACCAAGCCUACGAUGCAUAGGGGGACUGAGAGGUUAGCCCCCCACACUGGUACUGAGACACGGACCAGACUCCUACGGGAGGCAGCAGUGAGGAAUAUUGGUCAAUGUGUGCAACCCUGAACCAGCCAUGCCGCGUGCAGGAAGACGGCUCUAUGAGUUGUAAACUGCUUUUAAACAGGGAUAAAGCACAGUAUGUAUACUGUGUUGAAGGUACUGUAAGAAUAAGGAUCGGCUAACUCCGUGCCAGCCGCCGCCGUAA